Molecule: non-coding RNA, 130 nt
Organism: Podarcis lilfordi (Lilford's wall lizard)
Lineage: Eukaryota; Metazoa; Chordata; Lepidosauria; Squamata; Lacertidae
Source: the annotation of a GenBank genome assembly
CUUUGCAUCCUUUUAAAGUGGUGACUUUAGUAAUAUUUAAAGACACCAGCAAUGUUUCAGUAAAAGCUGCUGAAGCAUUGCUGGUGUGUUUAAAUAUUACUAAAGUCACCAAUUAAAGAGGACCAAAGGA